GGUCCUUGAAAUCGGACAAUUCAGGUUCGUACGAAGUUCGUUCUGAAAUGGGGUGAUUGGUGUAUUGUAUUGUUCUAGAGAUUGGAUUUCACUAAAAACCCACCAAAUGACUCCUCCCACAAUAUUAUGAUGUUCCCCAUGUUUUGGACUCAAUCCGAUAUCGAUUGGUCCUUGAAAUCGGACAAUUCAGGUUCGUUCGAAGUUCGUUCUGAAAUGGAGUGGCUGGUGUAUUGUAUAGUUCUAGGGAUUGUAUUUCACUCAAAACCCACCAAAUGACUCCUCCCACAAUAUUAUGAUGUUCCCCAAGUUUUGAACUUAAUCCGAUAUCGAUUGGUCCUUGAAAUCGGACAAUUCAGGUUCGUACGAAGUUCGUUCUGAAAUGGAGUGGUUGGUGUAUUGUAUAGUUCUAGGGAUUGUAUUUCAAUCAAAACCCAUCAAAUGACAACUCCAACAAUAUUAUGAUGUUCCCCAAGUUUUGGACUCAAUCCGAUAUCGAUUGGUCCUUCAAAUCGGACAGUUCAGAUUCUUACGACGUUCUUUCCGAAAUGGUGUGGUUGUUGUGUUGUCUAGUUCUAGGGAUUGGAUUUCACUCAAAACCCAUCAAAUGACAACUCCCACAAUAUUAUGAUGUUCCCCAAGUUUUGGACUCAAUCCGAUAUCGAUUGGUUCUUGAAAUCGGACAAUUCAGGUUCGUACGAAGUUCAUUCCGAAAUGGGGUGGUUGGUGUAUUGUAUAGUUCUAGAGAUUGGAUUUCAUUCAAAACCCACCAAAUGACUCCUCCCACAAUAUUAUGAUGUUCCCCAAGUUUUGGACUCAAUCCGAUAUCGAUUGGUCCUUGAAAUCGGACAAUUCAGUUCGUACGAAGUUCGUUCAGAAAUGGGGUGGUUGGUGUGUUCUAGGGAUUGGAUUUCUCUCAAAACCCAUCAAAUGACAACUACCACAAUAUUAUGAUGUUCCCCAAGUUUUGGACUCAAUCCGAUAUCGAUUGGUCCUUGGAAUCGGGACAAUUCGGGGAUCGGACGAAGGUUAGUUCCGAAAUGGUGUGAUUGGUGUGUUGUAUAGUUCUGGGGAUUGGAUUUCACUCAAAACCCAUCAAAUGACAACUCCCUCAAUAUUAUGAUGUUCCCCAGGUUUUGGACUUAAUCCGGUAUCGAUUGGUCCUUGAAAUCGGAUAAUUCAGGUUCGUACGAAGUUCGUUCUGAAAUGGGGUGAUUGGUGUAUUGUAUUGUUCUAGAGAUUGGAUUUCACUAAAAACCCACCAAAUGACUCCUCCCACAAUAUUAUGAUGUUCCCCACGUUUUGGACUCAAUCCGAUAUCGAUUGGUCCUUGAAAUCGGACAAUUCAGGUUCGUACGAAGUUUGUUCUGAAAUGCGGUGAUUGGUGUAUUGUAUUGUUCUAGAGAUUCGAUUUCACUAAAAACCCACCAAAUGACUCCUCCCACAAUAUUAUGAUGUUCCCCAAGUUUUGGAUUCAAUCCGAUAUCGAUUGGUCCUUGAAUCGGACAAUUCAGUUUCGUACGAAGUUCGUUCUGAAAUGGGGUGGUUGGUGUAUUGCAUAGUUCUAGAGAUUUGAUUUCAUUCCAAACCCACCAAAUGACUCCUCCCACAAUAUUAUGAUGUUCCCCAAGUUUUGGACUCAAUCCGAUAUCGAUUGGUCCUUGAAAUCGGACAAUUCAGUUUCGUACGAAGUUCGUUCUGAAAUGGGGUGGUUGGUGUAUUGUAUAGUUCUAGAGAUUUGAUUUCAUUCAAAACCCACCAAAUGACUCCUCCCACAAUAUUAUGAUGUUCCCCAAGUUUUGGACUCAAUCCGAUAUCGAUUAGUACUUGAAAUCGGACAAUUCAGGUUCGUACGAAGUUCGUUCUGAAAUGCGGUGGUUGGUGUAUUGUAUAGUUCUAGAGAUUGGCUUUCACUCAAAAUCCACUCCCACAAUAUUAUGAUGUUCCCCAAGUUUUGGACUCAAUCCGAUAUCGAUUGGGGCUUGAAAUCGGACAUUUCAGGUUCGUACGAAGUUCGUUCCGAAAUGUAGUGGUUGGUGUAUUGUAUAGUUCUAGGGAUUUUAUUUCACUCAAAACCCACCAACUGACUCCUCCCACAAUAUUAUAAUGUUCCCCAAGUUUUGCACUUAAUCCGGUAUCCAUUGGUCCUUGAAAUCGGACAAUUCACGUUCGUACAAAGUUCGUUCUGAAAUGGGGUGGUUGGUGUAUUGUAUAGUACUAGAGAUUGGAUUUCACUCAAAACCCACCAACUGACUCCUCCCACAAUAUUAUGAUGUUCCCCAAGUUUUGGACUCAAUCCGAUAUCGAUUGGUCCUUGAAAUCGGACAAUUCAGGUUCGUACGAAGUUCGUUCUGAAAUGGGGUGGUUGGUGUAUUGUAUAGUUCUAGAGAUUGGAUUUCACUCAAAACCCACCAAAUGACUCCUCCCACAAUAUUAUGAUGUUCCCCAAGUUUUGGACUCAAUCCGAUAUCUAUUGGGGCUUGAAAUCGGACAAUUCAGGUUCGUACGAAGUUCGUUCUGAAAUGGAGUGGUUGGUGUAUUGUAUAGUUGUAGGGAUUAUAUUUCACUCAAAACCCACCAAAUGACUCCUCCCACAAUAUUAUGAUGUUCCCAAGUUUUGGACUCAAUCCGAUAUCGAUUGGGACUUGAAAUCGGACAAUUCAGGUUCGUACCAAGUUCGUUCUGAAAUGGAGUGGUUGGUGUAUAGUGUAGUUCUAGGGAUUGUAUUUCACUCAAAACCCACCAAAUGCCUCCUCCCACAAUAUUAUGUCGUUCCCCAAGUUUUGGACUCAAUCCGAUAUCGAUCAGUCUACGAAAUAUAACAAUUUAGGUUCGUACGAAGUUCGUUCUGAAAUGGAGUGGUUGGUGUAUUGUAUAGUUCUAAAGAUUGGAUUUCACUCAAAACCCACCAAAUGACUCCUCCCACAAUAUUAUGAUGUUCCCCAAGUUUUGAACUCAAUCCGAUAUCGAUUGGUCCUUGAAAUCGGACAAUUCAGGUUCGUACGAAGUUCGUUCG
Molecule: long non-coding RNA, 3013 nt
Filed under: Prunus persica (peach)
Lineage: Eukaryota; Viridiplantae; Streptophyta; Magnoliopsida; Rosales; Rosaceae
Description: long non-coding RNA (PPER_LNC006171)
Source: RNAcentral